CAGCAGCCGCGGUAAUACGUAGGUGGCAAGCGUUGUCCGGAAUUAUUGGGCGUAAAGGGCUCGCAGGCGGUUUCUUAAGUCUGAUGUGAAAGCCCCCGGCUCAACCGGGGAGGGUCAUUGGGAACUGGGAAACUUGAGUGCAGAAGAGGAGAGUGGAAUUCCACGUGUAGCGGUGAAAUGCGUAGAGAUGUGGAGGAACACCAGUGGCGAAGGCGACUCUCUGGUCUGUAACUGACGCUGAGGAGCGAAAGCGUGGGGAGCGAACAGGAUUAGAUACCCCAGUAGUCCCUGUCUCUUAUAA
Molecule: ribosomal RNA, 301 nt
Filed under: uncultured bacterium
Lineage: Bacteria
Description: partial 16S ribosomal RNA
Rfam family: Bacterial small subunit ribosomal RNA
Source: RNAcentral